Oncorhynchus tshawytscha (Chinook salmon) is the source of this 3225-nucleotide long non-coding RNA. NCBI's taxonomy places the organism in Eukaryota, Metazoa, Chordata, Actinopteri, Salmoniformes, Salmonidae. The record is from Ensembl.
GUUUUGAGAUACAGUUCUGGGCCUAGUGUUUGAGAGAUACAGUUCUGGGCCUAGUGUUUGAGAGACACAGUUCUGGGUCUAGUGUUUGAGAGACACAGUUCUGGGCCUAGUGCUCACAUCAAUCAAUAAGUCACCAUGUGUGUCUGAUAAAUUAACAGCUUUAAUGGCAGAGGCUUUGCAGUGAGUGAUGCAUUCUAGUCAAGUGAUGUGUGUGUAUGAUUGUGUGCAUGAAUGUGUGUGUAGGGGGUUGUAUCGCAGGCAGGCACACACACACACACACACACACACACACAAACUUAAUCAAACAACGUUUAGAGCAAUCCCUCAGACUGUAACUGUAAGGUUCCAGUCUGAAACCCCCAGAGAAAUCAAAUAUUAAUUUAGACGAGAGCCACUGCUCAAUAUCGACUCUCCAAUCGAUGUGUGCGUGUGUGCAUGCAAGGAGAGAAAAAGAGAUGCAGGACAAACAAGAGAUUGAGUGAAGAGAAAAAGAGUCAGAGAGGAAGAAAGAGAGAAAAAGAUGAGUCCCUAGGACUCCAGCCUCAAUCACAGAAGUUUGAUCAAAGUUCUCUGUUUCAGUAUACAUUUCUGAACAGCAGGCCCGAUUCAAACAGCUCAACUGCAUGCACAGUAGGGGGGAAGACAAUCAGUGUAGCGCUCCCUUUUCAUCGAGAAAUGAUGAGAAUACAAGCUAUAGCGGCCUUCAUUCUCCUCCAGUCACAAAGCAACUGGUCUGUGAUUGCCCUGGACCCCUCGUUAGGCACCAAGAGCCUGUCCAAUCAACUCCAUCAUUCCACUACAGUGCAUGUGUGUGGGUGUUUUGUGUGUGUGAUGUCUGAAGACAGACACAAAUUGGCAAUCAGGUAACGCUAUCAUGGAUUGGACUUUCCUCAGAGGGAUCCUGACUCCAAUACCUUCUUCCUUUCCUCUCCUCCAUCUCCUCGUCGCUCCGGAGCGGCUCCAGCUCGACCCUGACAGGUUCUCCUGACAACUUAUUACCAUACAAUUACACGAGCUCUCUCUCUCUCUCUCUCUCUCUCUCUCUCUCUCAAUCACUAAAGUUUCUCACUUGUCUUAACCCUCAAUCCCUGUCUCUCCCUCUCUCUUUCUCACCCCUCCUCUUUUAUCACUAUCUCUAUCCACUUCUAUCAAUCUUUAUUGGUUCCCAUCUCCUAGGCCCAAAUAGAGCAUUAGAGUACAUGGCUCACUUUAAUCUGCAUUAGGGAAGAGAUGAGAGGGCAAUGAGGAGAGGAGGAGAGAGGAGAAGGUGAGGAGGAGAGAGGAGAAGGUGAGGAGGAGAGAGGAGAAGGUGAUGAGGAGAGGAGGAGAAGGUGAUGAGGAGAGGAGGAGAGAGGAGAAGGUGAUGAGGAGAGGAGGAGAGAGGAGAAGGUGAUGAGGAGAGGAGGAGAGAGGAGAAGUUGAUGAGGAGAGAGGAGAAGGUGAUGAGAGGAGGAGAAGGUGAUGAGAGGAGGAGAAGGUGACGAGAGGAGGAGAGAGGAGAAGGUGAGGAGGAGAGAGGAGAAGGUGAUGAGGAGAGGAGGAGAAGAUGAUGAGGAGAGGAGGAGAAGAUGAGGAGGAGAGAAGGUGAUGAGGAGAGGAGGAGAAGGUGAUGAGGAGAGGAGGAGAGAGGAGAAGGUGAUGAGGAGAGGAGGAGAGAGGAGAAGGUGAUGAGGAGAGAGGAGAAGGUGAUGAGAGGAGGAGAAGGUGAUGAGAGGAGAAGGUGAUGAGAGGAGGAGAGAGGAGAAGGUGAGGAGGAGAGAGGAGAAGGUGAUGAGGAGAGGAGAAGAUGAUGAGGAGAGGAGGAGAAGGUGAUGAGGAGAGGAGGAGAGAGGAGAAGGUGAUGAGGAGAGAGGAGAAGGUGAUGAAAGGAGGAGAGAAGAGAAGGUGAUGAGGAGAAGGUGAUGAGGAGAGGAGAAGGUGAUGAGGAGAGAGGUGAAGGAGAGGAGGAGAGAGGACAGGGUGAUGAGGAGAGAGGAGAAGGUGAUGAGGAGAGAGGAGAAGGUGAUGAGAGGAGGAGAGAGGAGAAGGUGAUGAGGAGAAGGUGAUGAGGAGAGGAGGAGAGAGGAGAAGGUGAUGAGGAGAGGAGGAGGGAGAAGGUGAUGAGGAGAGGACGAGAGAGGAGAAGGUGAUGAGGAGAGGAUGAGAGAGAGGAGAAGGUGAGGUGAUGAGGAGAGGAGAUUGUGAUGAGGAGAGGAGAAGGUGAUAAGGAGAAGAGAAGGUGAUGAGGAGGGGAGGAGAGAGGAGAAGGUGAUGAGGAGAGGAGGAGAGAGGAGAAGGUGAUGAGGAGAGGAGCAGAGAGGAGAAGGUGAUGAGUUGGAGAAGGCGAUGAGGAGAGGAGGAGAGGAGAAGGCGAUGAUGAGAGAAGGAGAGAGGAGAAGGUGAUGAGGAGAGGACGAGAGAGGAGAAGGUGAGGUGAUGAGGAGAGGAGAAGGUGACGAGGAGAGGAGAAGGUGAUGAGGAGAGGAGGAGAAGGUGAUGAGGAGAGGACGAGAGAGGAGAAGAUGAUGAGGAGAGGACGAGAGGAGAAGGUGAUGAGGAGAGGACGAGAGAGGAGAAGGUGAUGAGGAGAGGACGAUAGAGGAGAGGAGGAGAGAGGAGAAGGUGAUGAGGAGAGAGGAGAAGGUGAUGAGGAGAGGAGCAGAGAGGAUAAUGUGAUGAGGAGGAGAAGGUGAUGAGGAGAGGAGGAGAGGAGAAGGCAAUGAUGAGAGGAGGAGAGAGGAGAAGGUGAUGAGGAGAGGAGGAGAGAGGAGAAGGUGAUGAGGAGAGGACGAGAGAGGAGAAGGUGAUGAGGAGAGGAGGAGAGAGGAGAAGGUGAUGAGGAGAGGACGAGAGAGGAGAAGGCGAUGAGGAGAGGACAAGAGAGGAGAAGGUGAGGUGAUGAGGAGAGGAGAAGGUGAUGAGGAGAGGAUGAGAGAGGAGAAGGUGAUGAGGAGAGGACGAGAGAGGAGAAGGUGAGGUGAUGAGGAGAGGAGAAGGUGAUGAGGAGAGGAGGAGAGAGGAGAAGGUGAUGAGGAGAGGAGGAGAGAGAGAAGGUGAUGAGGAGAGGAGGAGAGAGGAGAAGGUGAUGAGGAGAGGAGGAGAGAGGAGAAGGUGAUGAGGAGAGGAGGAGAGAGGAGGUGAUGAGGAGAAGGUGAUGAGGAGAGGUGAGAGGAGAGAGGAGAAGGUGAUGAGGAGAGGAGGAGAGAGGAGAAGGUGAUGAGGAGAGGAGGAGAGAGGAGAAGGUGA